GCAGAUAUUGUGUGUUGCGCUGCGGUUCUUUGCAAAUGGAAGUUUUUAUAUGAUGUCAGAGAUGCAGAGUAAGACAACUGUAUGGAGGACAGUCAGAAAAGUUUUCCUGAUCCUGAAACGGCUUUUACUCAUCAUUGUGGUUUUCCUGGACAUAAACCUGUCAGAACAUCAAGGAGGAGUUCCACAGGAUUGCAGGUGAAUGAUGUAGAGAUCUGUUAAAUUCAUUUUAAAUCAUAUUCUGUUCAUGACAUUGUGCUGCAGCCUCAGACUGGGAUCAGUCAUUUUAAUUUCUUUUAGGAUUUCCCAGUGUGAUUGGCUGCAUAGAUGCACACACAUCCCCAUCACAGCUCCCUCACAUCAUGAACAGGAAGUCCAUUCACAGCAUAAAUGUGCAGGUAGGCUACAGGUAGACUGACUACUGUUUCUAAAUGUUAAAGACUGCAUCAUAGUUCAACAUCUGUCAUUCUCUGCACUGUCCAGAUCAUAUGUGAUGCUGCAUACAUCAUUUCUAAUGUGGAGGCCACGUGGUCUGGGUCUGUUCAUGACUCCAGGAUUUAUGGAGAGUCUAACCUGAGCAACAGACUGCAGCGUGGAGAGUUUGAUGGCCUUCUGCUGGGUGACAGGGGUUACCAUGACAACCCAGGCUGAUGACCUCAUACCCUGACCCUGAACCAGGCCCCCAACAGAACUUCAACCGGACUCACUGCAGGACCAGAGCCCGGGUGGAGAUGACCAUAGGCCUGCUGAAAGCCCGUUUCCAGAGCCUACGUCUCCUCAGGGUGACCCCUGAGAGGGCCUGUGAUAUUACUGUGGCAUGUGUUGUUCUUCAUAAUAUUACCACUAUUAGAGGAGAGCAACACCCUACCCUACAAACUGAAGACCCAGAUGAUGAGCCCAUCCACCUGCAGCUAUCCAGGACAGCAGAGCAGUCAGAGACACCGUAUGCAAUAAUCACUUUAGAGUUUAAGUCUCCAUCAUCACCACCACAGCAAAUAAAGACAUGAUACACAUUU
Long non-coding RNA from Acanthochromis polyacanthus (spiny chromis), 1013 nucleotides. RefSeq lists it as uncharacterized. The record is from RefSeq and is a predicted model, not a curated record. The transcript has 2 exons. Lineage: Eukaryota; Metazoa; Chordata; Actinopteri; Pomacentridae.